Molecule: ribosomal RNA, 865 nt
Filed under: Euhadra amaliae
Lineage: Eukaryota; Metazoa; Mollusca; Gastropoda; Stylommatophora; Camaenidae
Description: partial 16S ribosomal RNA
Source: RNAcentral
UUUGCAUAAUGGAUUAACUAUAUGCUUUAUAUAUUAAAUAUCACGAAGUAGUUUGAGUUAAAUAUAAUUGCAAGAUUGGUUGCUUAUACUGUUGUGACAAAAACGGGACCAAAAUUAUAUUUAGGGGUGAUAGGCCUGUCAAAAACUACGAUAUCUUGUUUCUAAUUAAAUGUAUUUAGUACAAGUAAUACAUUUAUUGAGUGUUUAGGCUUAAUAAGUAUAUUAAAAGAGAUGUAUAAUAUAUAUUAGGUUAUAAUAAAUAAAUAUAUAACAUAUAAUAUCACUCUACUCUUAAGGUUUAUUAUUUAUAAUUUGAUGUAGUUUUAAUUUAUAUAUCUAUUAAUAAUGUUGUUAUUAGUAUACAUAAAAGAUUUAAGUAAGGAACUCGGCAAUAUUGCUUCUCAACUGUUUAUCAAAAACAUAACUAUGUGUAUAAAUACAUAGCGUAAUCUGCUCAAUGAUUUAUUAAAUAGCCGCAGUAUAUUGACUGUGCAAAGGUAGCAUAAUCAAUUGGCUUAUAAUUGAAGUCUAGAAUGAAGGAAAAUAUGGGGAGCGACUGUCUUAUGUGUAUAUAUAGAAAUUGUUUAUGAAGUGAAAAUCCUUCUAUUCAUAUAAAAGACGAGAAGACCCUAGAAAUUUUAAAUAAUAUGGGUGGAUGUUCCUAAUUAUUUUUUCGCUGGGGCGGCGGAGUAGCAUAGAAACCUACUUACAUAGACCUGCGCUUUGUAUAGCAUCUGAUUAAUUACUCUAGGGAUAACAGCAUAAUAUUUAAAAGUUUGUGACCUCGAUGUUGGACUAGGAAAUAAUAACCUAAAAGGUUUUUUAUAUUGCUCUGUUCGAGCAUAAACUCCUACAUGAUCUGAGU